RNAcentral lists this ribosomal RNA (359 nucleotides) under uncultured Pantoea sp. Its description in RNAcentral is "bacterial SSU rRNA". It matches the Rfam family "Bacterial small subunit ribosomal RNA", at positions 173 to 531 of the family's 1533-position model. The record is from RNAcentral. Lineage: Bacteria; Pseudomonadati; Pseudomonadota; Gammaproteobacteria; Enterobacterales; Erwiniaceae.
GUCGCAGGACCCCGACGGGGGACCUUCGGGCCUCUCACUAUCGGAUGAACCCAGAUGGGAUUAGCUAGUAGGCGGGGUAAUGGCCCACCUAGGCGACAAUCCCUAGCUGGUCUGAGAGGAUGACCAGCCCACUGGAACUGAGACACGGUCCAGACUCCUACGGGAGGCAGCAGUGGGGAAUAUUGCACAAUGGGUUGUGGCCUGAUGCACCUUUGCCGCGUGUAUGAAGAAGGCCUUCGGGUUUGUAAAGUAUUUUCAGCGGGGAGGAAGGCGAUGCGGUUAAUAACCGCUUCUAUUGACGUUCCCCGCAAAAUAAGCACCGGCUAACUUCCGUGCCAGCAGCCGCGGUAAUACGGAGG